CCCCUCUCAGGAUCGCACCUGGAAAGUUUCCAGUACACUACCAGUCUUGGCGACAGGAGGGAGAGUCAGGCAGAAGACUGUCCAUUCCAUUCCUAGCUUGGCCAGUGGCUAGUGAAUGGAAGGCAGUCUGCUACGAGU
Tachyglossus aculeatus (Australian echidna) is the source of this 138-nucleotide small nucleolar RNA. Lineage: Eukaryota; Metazoa; Chordata; Mammalia; Monotremata; Tachyglossidae. The record is from RefSeq and is a predicted model, not a curated record.